GGUUAAGCGACUAAGCGUACACGGUGGAUGCCCUGGCAGUCAGAGGCGAUGAAGGACGUGCUAAUCUGCGAAAAGCGUCGGUAAGGUGAUAUGAACCGUUAUAACCGGCGAUGUCCGAAUGGGGAAACCCAGUGUGAUUCGUCACACUAUCGUUAACUGAAUACAUAGGUUAACGAGGCGAACCGGGGGAACUGAAACAUCUAAGUACCCCGAGGAAAAGAAAUCAACCGAGAUUCCCCCAGUAGCGGCGAGCGAACGGGGAGCAGCCCAGAGUCUGAAUCAGCUUGUGUGUUAGUGGAACGGUCUGGAAAGUCCGACGGUACAGGGUGAUAGUCCCGUACACCAAAAUGCACAGGCUGUGAACUCGAAGAGUAGGGCGGGACACGUGGUAUCCUGUCUGAAUAUGGGGGGACCAUCCUCCAAGGCUAAAUACUCCUGACUGACCGAUAGUGAACCAGUACCGUGAGGGAAAGGCGAAAAGAACCCCGGCGAGGGGAGUGAAAAAGAACCUGAAACCGUGUACGUACAAGCAGUGGGAGCACCUUCGGGUGUGACUGCGUACCUUUUGUAUAAUGGGUCAGCGACUUAUAUUCUGUAGCAAGGUUAACCGUAUAGGGGAGCCGCAGGGAAACCGAGUCUUAACUGGGCGUUAAGUUGCAGGGUAUAGACCCGAAACCCGGUGAUCUAGCCAUGGGCAGGUUGAAGGUUGGGUAACACUAACUGGAGGACCGAACCGACUAAUGUUGAAAAAUUAGCGGAUGACUUGUGGCUGGGGGUGAAAGGCCAAUCAAACCGGGAGAUAGCUGGUUCUCCCCGAAAGCUAUUUAGGUAGCGCCUCGUGAACUCAUCUUCGGGGGUAGAGCACUGUUUCGGCUAGGGGGUCAUCCCGACUUACCAACCCGAUGCAAACUACGAAUACCGAAGAAUGUUAUCACGGGAGACACACGGCGGGUGCUAACGUCCGUCGUGAAGAGGGAAACAACCCAGACCGCCAGCUAAGGUCCCAAAGUCAUGGUUAAGUGGGAAACGAUGUGGGAAGGCACAGACAGCCAGGAUGUUGGCUUAGAAGCAGCCAUCAUUUAAAGAAAGCGUAAUAGCUCACUGGUCGAGUCGGCCUGCGCGGAAGAUGUAACGGGGCUAAACCAUGCACCGAAGCUGCGGCAGCGACACUAUGUGUUGUUGGGUAGGGGAGCGUUCUGUAAGCCUGCGAAGGUGACCUGUGAGGGUUGCUGGAGGUAUCAGAAGUGCGAAUGCUGACAUAAGUAACGAUAAAGCGGGUGAAAAGCCCGCUCGCCGGAAGACCAAGGGUUCCUGUCCAACGUUAAUCGGGGCAGGGUGAGUCGACCCCUAAGGCGAGGCCGAAAGGCGUAGUCGAUGGGAAACAGGUUAAUAUUCCUGUACUUGGUGUUACUGCGAAGGGGGGACGGAGAAGGCUAUGUUAGCCGGGCGACGGUUGUCCCGGUUUAAGCAUGUAGGCUGAUUGUCCAGGCAAAUCCGGAUAAUCAAGGCUGAGGUGUGAUGACGAGGCACUACGGUGCUGAAGUAACAAAUGCCCUGCUUCCAGGAAAAGCCUCUAAGCAUCAGGUAACAUUAAAUCGUACCCCAAACCGACACAGGUGGUCAGGUAGAGAAUACCAAGGCGCUUGAGAGAACUCGGGUGAAGGAACUAGGCAAAAUGGUGCCGUAACUUCGGGAGAAGGCACGCUGGUGUGUAGGUGAAGCCCCUGCGGGUGGAGCUGAGACCAGUCGAAGAUACCAGCUGGCUGCAACUGUUUAUUAAAAACACAGCACUGUGCAAACACGAAAGUGGACGUAUACGGUGUGACGCCUGCCCGGUGCCGGAAGGUUAAUUGAUGGGGUUAUCCGUAAGGAGAAGCUCUUGAUCGAAGCCCCGGUAAACGGCGGCCGUAACUAUAACGGUCCUAAGGUAGCGAAAUUCCUUGUCGGGUAAGUUCCGACCUGCACGAAUGGCGUAAUGAUGGCCAGGCUGUCUCCACCCGAGACUCAGUGAAAUUGAACUCGCUGUGAAGAUGCAGUGUACCCGCGGCAAGACGGAAAGACCCCGUGAACCUUUACUAUAGCUUGACACUGAACAUUGAGCCUUGAUGUGUAGGAUAGGUGGGAGGCUUUGAAGCGUGGACGCCAGUCUGCGUGGAGCCAACCUUGAAAUACCACCCUUUAAUGUUUGAUGUUCUAACGUUGGCCCCUGACCGGGGUUGCGGACAGUGUCUGGUGGGUAGUUUGACUGGGGCGGUCUCCUCCCAAAGCGUAACGGAGGAGCACGAAGGUUAGCUAAUCCUGGUCGGACAUCAGGAGGUUAGUGCAAUGGCAUAAGCUAGCUUGACUGCGAGCGUGACGGCGCGAGCAGGUGCGAAAGCAGGUCAUAGUGAUCCGGUGGUUCUGAAUGGAAGGGCCAUCGCUCAACGGAUAAAAGGUACUCCGGGGAUAACAGGCUGAUACCGCCCAAGAGUUCAUAUCGACGGCGGUGUUUGGCACCUCGAUGUCGGCUCAUCACAUCCUGGGGCUGAAGUAGGUCCCAAGGGUAUGGCUGUUCGCCAUUUAAAGUGGUACGCGAGCUGGGUUUAGAACGUCGUGAGACAGUUCGGUCCCUAUCUGCCGUGGGCGCUGGAGAAUUGAGGGGGGCUGCUCCUAGUACGAGAGGACCGGAGUGGACGCAUCACUGGUGUUCGGGUUGUCAUGCCAAUGGCACUGCCCGGUAGCUAAAUGCGGAAGAGAUAAGUGCUGAAAGCAUCUAAGCACGAAACUUGCCCCGAGAUGAGUUCUCCCUGAGACUUUAAGUCUCCUGAAGGAACGUUAAAGACGAUGACGUUGAUAGGCCGGGUGUGUAAGCGCAGCGAUGCGUUGAGCUAACCGGUACUAAUGAACCGUGAGGCUUAACCUU
Molecule: ribosomal RNA, 2902 nt
Filed under: Klebsiella pneumoniae
Lineage: Bacteria; Pseudomonadati; Pseudomonadota; Gammaproteobacteria; Enterobacterales; Enterobacteriaceae
Description: 23S ribosomal RNA
Rfam family: Bacterial large subunit ribosomal RNA
Source: RNAcentral